UACGGGGGGGGCAAGCGUUGUUCGGAAUUACUGGGCGUAAAGGGCUCGUAGGCGGCCAACUAAGUCAGACGUGAAAUCCCUCGGCUUAACCGGGGAACUGCGUCUGAUAUUGGAUGGCUAGAGGUUGGGAGAGGGAUGCGGAAUUCCAGGUGUAGCGGUGAAAUGCGUAGAUAUCGGGAGGAACACCAGUGGCGAAGGCGACUACCUGGCCUGUUCUUGACGCUGAGGCGCGAAAGCUAGGGGAGCAAACGGG
RNAcentral lists this ribosomal RNA (253 nucleotides) under uncultured bacterium. RNAcentral's name for it is "partial 16S ribosomal RNA". It matches the Rfam family "Bacterial small subunit ribosomal RNA", at positions 524 to 776 of the family's 1533-position model. The record is from RNAcentral.